RNAcentral lists this ribosomal RNA (715 nucleotides) under uncultured bacterium. Its description in RNAcentral is "bacterial SSU rRNA". It matches the Rfam family "Bacterial small subunit ribosomal RNA", at positions 111 to 823 of the family's 1533-position model. The record is from RNAcentral.
UAACGCGUAUGCAACUUACCUAUCAGAGGGGGAUAGCCCGGCGAAAGUCGGAUUAAUACCCCAUGAAACAGGGGUCCCGCAUGGGAAUAUUUGUUAAAGAUUCAUCGCUGAUAGAUAGGCAUGCGUUCCAUUAGGCAGUUGGCGGGGUAACGGCCCACCAAACCGACGAUGGAUAGGGGUUCUGAGAGGAAGGUCCCCCACAUUGGUACUGAGACACGGACCAAACUCCUACGGGAGGCAGCAGUGAGGAAUAUUGGUCAAUGGCCGAGAGGCUGAACCAGCCAAGUCGCGUGAAGGAAGAAGGAUCUAUGGUUUGUAAACUUCUUUUAUAGGGGAAUAAAGUGGAGGACGUGUCCUUUUUUGUAUGUACCCUAUGAAUAAGCAUCGGCUAACUCCGUGCCAGCAGCCGCGGUAAUACGGAGGAUGCGAGCGUUAUCCGGAUUUAUUGGGUUUAAAGGGUGCGUAGGUGGUGAUUUAAGUCAGCGGUGAAAGUUUGUGGCUCAACCAUAAAAUUGCCGUUGAAACUGGGUUACUUGAGUGUGUUUGAGGUAGGCGGAAUGCGUGGUGUAGCGGUGAAAUGCAUAGAUAUCACGCAGAACUCCGAUUGCGAAGGCAGCUUACUAAACCAUAACUGACACUGAAGCACGAAAGCGUGGGGAUCAAACAGGAUUAGAUACCCUGGUAGUCCACGCAGUAAACGAUGAUUACUAGGAGU